AAAUAGACUACACCACUGAUAUCUAGACAGUCUGGGUACUGUGUGCUGUUUGAUGAAUCACUUAACCACGAGCUCCAAAGGAAACAGUUGGAUUUACACGUUAGAAUAUGGGACUGUGGAACUGUCCAGACCAGAUACCUCAGCUCUGAAUUCUUUGGGCAAGCUACCGCUAGAGAUGUGGUGGAUAAAAUGAGCAUAGUGCUAGGUGACAUUGGACUGAAAAACCUUGUACAGGUAUCUAUGGACGGUCCUAACGUUAACCGGAAGAUCUUUGACUUGCUACAAAACAAGCCGCUUGCUGACAUCAACCGAUCUCUCCUGAACAUUGGUUCAUGCGGACUACACAUAAUGCACAUGUAACAGAGUAAGAAAAUACUGCUCAUAAAUAAUAUAGUUGUGUGAGUUUUGCCAUUAUUGAGCACAGCAGUGUUCUGGUUAAUUGUUGUUGGAGACACCUUUGGACGCUGAGAGAACUGCAGGUCUGCCGCUUUGACCCUUCGUGGUCGCCGUACUCCCAGCCAGAAGAAAGUUAUCCUGGCUUGGGAAAUAAACUGCCGUCCAAGAACUUCUGUCUCUGUGCUGCUUGAGAUCCGUUACACACAAUGCAUUUCAUGGCGGUGCUAAGGCCACAGGAUGGGAAGUAGACCAUACUCUAAACAGCAUGUACUGGCUCUUCAAGGACAGCCCCUCCCAUCGAGAGGAUUUUACAAAAGUAACCGGCAGCAACACAUUCGCCUUGAAAUUCUGCCAGCACCGCUGGAUAGAAAAUGUGGAUGUAUGCGGCAGGGCUCUGUCCAUUUUGCCGGAUGUGCUGCGCUACGUGGAGGCGGCUAAGGGACGGGUCAUCAGUGAACCAAAGUGCAAGUCCUACGAAGAAGUCAAAAAGCAGGCUUCAAACAACAUCUUCCCCGUGCAUGUGGCAAUAUUUUCCAGCAUUGCCAAACAGGUCACUCCAUUUAUGACAGCCUAUCAGACAGAUGCAACCAUGCUCCCCUUCAUGAUUGGAGACAUGUACAAACUAAUCAAAGGGCUAAUGGAGAGGUUCAUGAAGGACACAGCGCUGAAAGAGGCUACUACCAUGCAGAAACUUCUCCAGAUCAGCAUCAACAAUCCUUCCCUCCACAAGGACGCUUCCAAAAUUGACAUUUGGAUUCCAGGCAGAAACAUUAAUCAGACAACUCAGAGGCUCUGACAAGAUCACAGAGAGGCAGGUUCUCGAUGUUAGAAUGGAGACCAAGACAUUUCUUGUCGAACUUCUGACUAAACUCCUGCAUAAGGCACCAGUAAAUCACCUGCUGGUGAGAAAUAUGCAGUGUCUAGAUCCCAGGAUGAUGGUUUCUAAGAAGAACCAAUGUGUUGAGAAGAUGAAAAGCAUCCUGCAUACUUUGGCUGCCGCUAACCAAGUGGAUGUUUCAAUUUGUGACAAAGUGCUGCAGGAUUUUAGAGAGUUCCUUGAUGUUGCUGCAGCAUCAUCAGGUUUUGUUGAUUUUGACCCUAUGUCUGACCGUGUUGACACACUACUCUAUGAGAACAUUGCUUCCAGGUCUGCAUGGAAAAGUCUUUGGCAUAUGAUCCAAAUUCUCUUGAUCAUGUCCCAUGGACAAGCCAGUGUAGAACGAGGGUUUUCUGUGAAUAAGCAAGUCAUGGUGGAGAAUAUGAAGGCAGAAUCAGUCAUUGCACAGCGUGUGAUUGCCGAUAGCAUUAGGGCAGCAGGUGGCCUUGAGAAAAUUAUCACCAAAGAGCUUCAAAUGUCUGCUUCAAGUGCCAGACAAAGUUAUCUCGCAUACCUUGAUGACCAGAGGAAGGAAAACAAAAGCAAAACAAAAGCCUCCAAGAAGAGGAGCCUAGCAAAUGAACUCAAAGAACUGAAGCAAAAAAAAAUUCGUCUUGAGUCUGACAUUCAACAGCUUGAGAAGUCAGCUGAUGAAUUGGCUAUGAAGGCUGAAGCAACACGCAGUAUAGGAUUUGUUGUUCAGUCAAACAGCCUGCAGCACUCUGCCAAAGAAAAGAGAGCAAGCUUAUUAGCUUUGGACAAGGACAUUGAGUGCAAAAAGAAAAAAAUGGAAGAGUAGUCCUGAUGAUUAUUUUGAUUGUUACAAUUGUUAUGGAAUUUAUUUGAUUGCUGAGGGGAUAUGUUGUGAACAAAUGGACAAGUAGUCCACGUAGGUUAACGUUUCAUAUUAUUUCUCACCUUCACAGAGUACAAACGGAACAGAGGGAUGUUUCACUGCAGUGUUUUUUGCAUUAUGUUUUAAUGUAAUGUGUUACAUGCAUAGGUAUCGUGAGUACAACCCUUAGCUUUGGGCUACAGUCUAGGUGUUGGCUCUGGGCAAGGGCGUAACCGUGGUAUAAAUAUUGGGGGGGUCCAAAUUUGAGCCCUUCCCAAAAUGUUUUUAAGUGCAUUUCGUGCAAUUUUCAUAUGGGCCUAUUGAUAAAGAUGUGCUUAUCUAGAACAUUGUUUUGAUGAAUACAAUUACCAAUGAACAUGUUAACGUUUAUAUCUUGUUUUUUUUUUAUUGUGUAUCAGGCAAAACACAAAACAGAAUGUGCAACUGCAAAACAUGUAACGCAAUACAACAUAUGUGAAACAUUGCAUGAAAAUCUGUCACACCAGAGCUAGUCUCGCGCACACACACAUUUCAAACAAAUGCAGAAAUGCCAAAUUGCUACAAAAAAAUGGCUACCAAAGCAAUAGAAAGGAGCAUUACCCUGGUUAAUAGGUCAAAACAACAUAGAACUUUGUAGAAAAUAUAUUGACUUUAUCUAAAUAAAUGGCCCAAAAAUAUGGAGGCGUUCAUCGUGUAACUCAACAAGUCUCUGACAGAUCUGUCUCCUAUCCAGUGCAUCCAAUUUCUCUUGAUGUACACGGCAAAUGGCAAGAUCGUUUAACCGGGUCUGCGUCAUUGAUGUUCUCAGCCAUGUUUUUAGUCUCACGUCUUACCUGAUCAUCUUCAGAGCAGGUGUCUGUCUGUCCUGUCCCUCUAUCAUGCAUGUAACGGUCACUCUCUCUGUCUCACUGCUCUUCCUGCAUUACGUCCACAUAACAUCAAUGCACUUCAAGAAUAAUGACUGACCAAAAUGAUAAUUUUAUUUACAUUUAAUUAAAGGAUAGUAUGCUCUUAUUACUAGCCUACUGAUGAUAUGCAGCCUAUGAUGAGGUUUAAAAAUAAUGUAAAGUUGUUUUAAGGACUCGUAAUACAAUGCUCUUUACCAGUUCA
This is an RNA transcript of Neoarius graeffei (lesser salmon catfish), 3218 nucleotides long. RefSeq lists it as uncharacterized. Lineage: Eukaryota; Metazoa; Chordata; Actinopteri; Siluriformes; Ariidae. The record is from RefSeq and is a predicted model, not a curated record. The transcript is spliced from 3 exons.